UUUUGACUAUUUAUCUUAUUUGAAAUUUUUUUACGAUUAAUAUUUUUAUGCUUACUAGAUAAUAAAAUAUAAAUAGUACUUUAUACGUGACUAAUGUUUUAAAGUUUUUUAUAAUUUUUUCAAAUAAGACGAACAGUGGACACGGAAAAAC
RNAcentral lists this microRNA precursor (151 nucleotides) under Oryza brachyantha (malo sina). RNAcentral's name for it is "MIR812 microRNA precursor family". It matches the Rfam family "MIR812 microRNA precursor family", at positions 27 to 190 of the family's 205-position model. Lineage: Eukaryota; Viridiplantae; Streptophyta; Magnoliopsida; Poales; Poaceae. The record is from Rfam by way of RNAcentral.